GGUUGUGGCUCAGUGGUAGAGCACUUGCCUAGCACAUGUGAGGCAAUGGGUUCAAUCCUCAGCAACACA
Molecule: transfer RNA, 69 nt
Filed under: Marmota monax (woodchuck)
Lineage: Eukaryota; Metazoa; Chordata; Mammalia; Rodentia; Sciuridae
Description: tRNA.Ala
Source: RNAcentral